GAUGAACGCUGGCGGUAUGCCUUACACAUGCAAGUCGUACGAGAGUUUUUAACUCAAGUGGCGGACGGGUGAGUAACACGUAAGAAUUUACCUUUAGGAGGGGGAUAACAGCUGGAAACGGUUGCUAAUACCCCAUAUGCUUUCGAGUGAAAUGGGUUUCCGCCUAAAGAAAAGCUUGCGGCUGAUUAGCUUGUUGGUGAGGUAAUGGCUCACCAAGGCGACGAUCAGUAUCUGGUUUGAGAGGAUGAUCAGACACACUGGAACUGAGACACGAUCCAGACUCCUACGGGAGGCAGCAGUGGGGAAUUUUCCGCAAUGGGCGAAAGCCUGACGGAGCAAUACCGCGUGAGGGAUGAAGGCCUAUGGGUUGUAAACCUCUUUUUUCAGGGAGGAAUCAAUGACGUGUACCUGAAGAAUAAGCAUCGGCUAACUCCGUGCCAGCAGCCGCGGUAAGACGGAGGAUGCAAGUGUUAUCCGGAAUCACUGGGCGUAAAGCGUCUGUAGGUGGUCAAAUAAGUCAACUGUUAAAUCCUGAGGCUCAACCUCAAAACCGCAGUCGAAACUAUUAGACUAGAGUAUAGU
RNAcentral lists this ribosomal RNA (582 nucleotides) under uncultured bacterium. RNAcentral describes it as "bacterial SSU rRNA". It matches the Rfam family "Bacterial small subunit ribosomal RNA", at positions 28 to 652 of the family's 1533-position model. The record is from RNAcentral.